GUCAUGUGGCACAGUCGGCAGGGUGGGCAACUCUCAAGCCACAUGCAGGCAGGGGUUCGAUUCCCUCUCCAUGGCA
This 76-nucleotide transfer RNA is filed under the name Anguilla anguilla (European eel). RNAcentral's name for it is "tRNA-OTHER". Lineage: Eukaryota; Metazoa; Chordata; Actinopteri; Anguilliformes; Anguillidae. The record is from RNAcentral.